RNAcentral lists this ribosomal RNA (467 nucleotides) under uncultured bacterium. RNAcentral describes it as "partial 16S ribosomal RNA". It matches the Rfam family "Bacterial small subunit ribosomal RNA", at positions 29 to 507 of the family's 1533-position model. The record is from RNAcentral.
ACGAACGCUGGCGGCGUGCUUAACCCAUGCAAGUCGAACGGAAAGGCCCUGCUUUUGUGGGGUGCUCGAGUGGCGAACGGGUGAGUAACACGUGAGUAACCUGCCCUUGACUUUGGGAUAACUUCAGGAAACUGGGGCUAAUACCGGAUAGGAGCUCCUGCUGCAUGGUGGGGGUUGGAAAGUUUCGGCGGUUGGGGAUGGACUCGCGGCUUAUCAGCUUGUUGGUGGGGUAGUGGCUUACCAAGACUUUGACGGGUAGCCGGCCUGAGAGGGUGACCGGCCACAUUGGGACUGAGAUACGGCCCAGACUCCUACGGGAGGCAGCAGUGGGGAAUAUUGCACAAUGGGCGGAAGCCUGAUGCAGCAACGCCGCGUGCGGGAUGACGGCCUUCGGGUUGUAAACCGCUUUCGCCUGUGACGAAGCGUGAGUGACGGUAAUGGGUAAAGAAGCACCGGCUAACUACGUG